ACCGGAAGCUCAAGUGGUGGCAAUUUUUAUUGGGCCUAAAGCGUUCGUAGCCGGUUUGAUAAGUCUCUGGUGAAAUCCCGCAGCUUAACUGUGGGGCUUGCUGGAGAUACUAUUAGACUUGAGGUCGGGAGAGGUUAGGGGUACUCCCAGGGUAGGAGUGAAAUCCUAUAAUCCUGGGAGGACCACCUGUGGCGAAGGCGCCUCACCGGAACGACCCUGACGGUGAGUAACGAAAGCCAGGGGAGCGAACCG
This 252-nucleotide ribosomal RNA is filed under the name uncultured prokaryote. RNAcentral's name for it is "partial 16S rRNA". It matches the Rfam family "Archaeal small subunit ribosomal RNA", at positions 475 to 726 of the family's 1478-position model. The record is from RNAcentral.